Molecule: long non-coding RNA, 108 nt
Organism: Bufo bufo (common toad)
Lineage: Eukaryota; Metazoa; Chordata; Amphibia; Anura; Bufonidae
Exons: 3
Source: RefSeq, a predicted model, not a curated record
CGAAGCACUGUGCAAAUGACAGGUGGACUGACAGGAUGAUCCCCAAAGCAGAAUCUGACCGGAGUGCCAGUCCAGAACUUGAGUGUGCUGACGCAGCCAGGGAAGACC